GAAGCUGGUCAAAGCUGACGUGGACUCCGAUCUUCUCCCGGUGGUUCCGCCCAGACCACCUGAAGACAUCGUAGCAUGCAAAUUAAGAAAGCGUUUGAGGUGAAGCCGCAGGACCUGAGGCAGUUUGUGGACCAUCAGCUGUUUCUGUGCUUCGGUCAGGAUAACUGGUUUGGAGGAGGUCCGCCGUCGAGCAGCUGCACACAAGAGCUCCUCAGCUCUCCUCUGCAGACUUCAAAGAGCUUUUUGGCAUCAGACUGGAAAGAUCCGACUUCCACAUAGCUGUCUCCCUCCAAAUGAUGAUACAGAUGAGUAAAAGGCUGCAGCAGUGAGUUUUACAAAUUGUUGAAGCAGCUAUUUGUAACUCCAAAGAGCCCACAGUCAUGGACAGAUCAGGAAACGCAGACACAGACAUGUAAAAGGUCCCCACCCCUCCUGCCUGGAGGAAGACACCCAGACACUCUUUUUUCCAUCUUCACGGUGAUUUUGUCUCUUUUCGAUCAUUGUACAUCUCUUUAUCAUCAUUUUUCGUCUCUUUAUGGUUACUGUAACCCCUGCAUGCACCUCUCGCUCCACCCCGACUCUUGACACACACACACACACACACACACACACACAUUAUCAUCAUGCCAUGACUGACACAGUGACUGACUGACAGAUUGGUUAAUUACACAGAGCAACUCAAAAGAAGGGAGAAGAAAAAUAGGCUAAAUGAUGUAAGGACAGGGGUAUUUCAGACAUGCAGAGAAAGCUCCACUGCAAUUUCAGAGGAAUUUUCUUCUGACAGAACCUAGCCUGUUACUGUAGGAAGUCAGAUGUUAGUUUUAUUCAAAGUAUCAGGUUUGAACUUGUUGGACACUUUAGUAACAGCUGAAUGCUUCAACGCAGAAAAAUGAGUAAAAUCUUCAGACUAUUUGUGCCUGGAGAGAAACAGCUGCCCAGACAGAGAGCCAGUGCGACCCAGAUAUGACAGUCAUUUCACUUUUGCUCCUAAACAGGUCAGAGUUUUCACUCACUGAAUAAUUGAAGUUCAUGUUAAUGUGAAAAGAUUCUAUACAGCAGAUAUGUACGUCAAGUCAGGGCAGACAGACGGCUAAUUCACAGUGUUAUGUUACG
Long non-coding RNA from Lates calcarifer (barramundi perch), 1113 nucleotides. RefSeq lists it as uncharacterized. The record is from RefSeq and is a predicted model, not a curated record. Lineage: Eukaryota; Metazoa; Chordata; Actinopteri; Centropomidae. The transcript is spliced from 3 exons.